Molecule: ribosomal RNA, 113 nt
Filed under: Pogona vitticeps (central bearded dragon)
Lineage: Eukaryota; Metazoa; Chordata; Lepidosauria; Squamata; Agamidae
Source: RNAcentral
GCUUAUCACCACAUCACCAUGAAUCUACCCGACCUUGUCUGAUUUUGGAAGCUAAGCAGGGUUAGACCUGGUCACGACUUGAAUGGGAGCCAACCAAGGUAUACCAGAGAUCU